ACCCAAUAGAUACCCAGGUAGUCUACGCCGUAAACGAUGUGCACUAGAUUCGAGGGCCCCUGACGGUCUUCGGGUCGAAAAACAAAAAAAGCGUUAAAGUGCGCCGCCUGGGGAGUACGGCCGCAAGGCUAAAACUCAAAGGAAUUGACGGGGGCGUCACACAAGCGGUGGAGCAUGUGGAUCAAUUCGAAGCAACGCGAAGAACCUUACCUGGGUUUGACAUGCUGGGAUGGUCGCCUUGAAAGAGGAGUGAUCUGCCCGCAAGGGUGAAACCAGUACAGGUGCUGCAUGGCUGUCGUCAGCUCGUGCUGUGAAGUGUCGGGUUU
This 326-nucleotide ribosomal RNA is filed under the name uncultured bacterium. Its description in RNAcentral is "bacterial SSU rRNA". It matches the Rfam family "Bacterial small subunit ribosomal RNA", at positions 771 to 1082 of the family's 1533-position model. The record is from RNAcentral.